GAAACGACUGCUAAGACUGGAUAGGAGAUAAGAAGGCAUCUUCUUAUUUUUAAAAGACCUAGCAAUAGGUAUGCUUAGGGAAGAGCUUGCGUCACAUUAGCUAGUUGGUGGGGUAAUGGCCUACCAAGACGAUGAUGUGUAGCCGGGCUGAGAGGUCGAACGGCCACAUUGGGACUGAGACACGGCCCAAACUCCUACGGGAGGCAGCAGUAAGGAAUUUUCGGCAAUGGAGGAAACUCUGACCGAGCAAUGCCGCGUGAACGAUGAAGUAUUUCGGUACGUAAAGUUCUUUUAUUAGGGAAGAAAAGAUGGUGGAAAAACCAUCAUGACGGUACCUAAUGAAUAAGCCCCGGCUAACUAUGUGCCAGCAGCCGCGGUAAUACAUAGGGGGCAAGCGUUAUCCGGAAUUAUUGGGCGUAAAGGGUGCGUAGGCGGUUAAAUAAGUUUAUGGUCUAAGUGCAACGCUCAACGUUGUGAUGCUAUAAAAACUGUUUAGCUAGAGUUGGAUAGAGGCAAGUGGAAUUCCGUGUGUAGUGGUAAAAUGCGUAAAUAUACGGAGGAACACCAGAAGCGAAGGCGGCUUGCUGGGUCUUAACUGACGCUGAGGCACGAAAGCGUGGGGAGCAAACAGGAUUAGAUACCCUGGUAGUCCACGCCCUAAACGAUGAGUACUAAACGUUGGAUAAAACCAGUGUUGAAGUUAACACAUUAAGUACUCCGCCUGAGUAGUACGUACGCAAGUAUGAAACUUAAAGGAAUUGACGGGACUCCGCACAAGCGGUGGAUCAUGUUGUUUAAUUCGAAGGUACCCGAAAAACCUCACCAGGUCUUGACAUGCUUUUGCAAAGCUGUAGAAAUACAGUGGAGGUUAUCAGAAGCACAGGUGGUGCAUGGUUGUCGUCAGCUCGUGUCGUGAGAUGUUGGGUUAAGUCCCGCAACGAGCGCAACCCUUGUUGUUAAUUGCCAUCAUUAAGUUGGGGACUUUAGCAAGACUGCCAAUGAUAAAUUGGAGGAAGGUGGGGACGACGUCAAAUCAUCAUGCCCCCUAUGACCUGGGCUACAAACGUGAUACAAUGGCUGUUACAAAGGGUAGCUAAAGCGUAAGCUUCUGGCGAAUCUCAAAAAAGCAGUCUCAGUUCGGAUUGAAGUCUGCAACUCGACUUCAUGAAGUUGGAAUCGCUAGUAAUCGCGAAUCAGCAUGUCGCGGUGAAUACGUUCUCGGGGUUUGUACACACCGCCCGUCA
Molecule: ribosomal RNA, 1244 nt
Filed under: Phytoplasma sp. BN-Fc3
Lineage: Bacteria; Bacillati; Mycoplasmatota; Mollicutes; Acholeplasmatales; Acholeplasmataceae
Description: bacterial SSU rRNA
Rfam family: Bacterial small subunit ribosomal RNA
Source: RNAcentral